CUCAUACUCCCUCCGUCCCAAAAUUAUUAUCUUAGAUUUACCAAAAUACGGACGUACCUAGUCACAUUUUAGUGUUAGAUACAUUUGUAUCUUGACAAAUCUAAGACAAGAAUUUUAGGACGGAGAUAGUAUCAU
RNAcentral lists this microRNA precursor (135 nucleotides) under Hordeum vulgare. RNAcentral's name for it is "microRNA MIR1122". It matches the Rfam family "MIR1120/MIR1122 microRNA precursor family". The record is from RNAcentral. Lineage: Eukaryota; Viridiplantae; Streptophyta; Magnoliopsida; Poales; Poaceae.